GUGAUAAAAUCAAUCGUCAAAAGGGGAACAACCCAGACUACCAAAUAAGGUCCCUAAGUUCUAUUCUGAGUGGAAAAAGAUGUGUGGCUACUCAAACAACCAGGAGGUUGGCUUAGAAGCAGCCAUCCUUUAAAGAAAGCGUAACAGCUCACUGGUCUAGUGGUCAUGCGCUGAAAAUAUAACGGGGCUAAGAUAGACACCGAAUUUGUAGAUUGUGUUAAACACAGUGGKAGAAGAGCGUUCAUMCCAGCGUUGAAGGUAUACCGGUAAGGAGKGCUGGAGCGGUAUGAAGKGAGCAUGCAGGAAUGAGUAACGAUAAGAUAUAUGAGAAUUGUAUCCGCCGUAAAUCUAAGGUUUCCUACGCGAUGGKCGUCAUCGUAGGGUUAGUCGGGKCCUAAGCCGAGKCCGAAAGGGGUAGGUGAKGGCAAAUUGGUUAAUAUUCCAAUACCGACUAUGGAGCGUGAUGGGGGGACGCAUAGGGUUAAGCGAGCKAGCUGAUGGAAGCGCUAGUCUAAGGGCGUAGAUUGGAGGGAAGGCAAAUCCACCUCUGUAUUUGAAACCCAAMCAGGCUCUUUGAGUCCUUUUAGGMCAAAGGGAGAAUCGCUGAUGCCGUCGUGCCAAGAAAAGCCUCUAAGCAUAUCCAUAGUCGUCCGUACCGCAAACCGACMCAGGKAGAUGAGAUGAGKAUUCUAAGGCGCGUGAAAGAACUCUGGUUAAGGAACUCUGCAAMCUAGCACCGUAAGUYCGCGAUAAGGKGUGCCGCAGCAAUGCGGUCUCAGCAAAGAGKCCCUCCCGACUGUUUACCAAAAACACAGCACUUUGCCAACUCGUAAGAGGAAGUAUAAGGUGUGACGCCUGCCCGGKGCUCGAAGGUUAAGAGGAUGCGUCAGUCGCAAGAUGAAGCGUUGAAUUGAAGCCCGAGUAAMCGGCGGCCGUAACUAUAACGGUCCUAAGGUAGCGAAAUUCCUUGUCGGUUAAAUACCGACCUGCAUGAAUGGCGUAACGAGAUGGGAGCUGUCUCAACCAGAGAUUCAGUGAAAUUGUAGUGGAGGUGAAAAUUCCUCCUACCCGCGGCAAGACGGAAAGACCCCGUGGACCUUUACUMCAACUUAGCMCUGCUAAUGGGAAUAUCAUGCGCAGGAUAGGUGGGAGGCUUUGAAGUAAGGGCUUUGGCUCUUAKGGAGCCAUCCUUGAGAUACCACCCUUGAUGUUUCUGUUAGCUAACKGGCCUGKGUUAUCCMCAGGCAGGACAAUGCUUGGUGGGUAGUUUGACUGGGGCGGUCGCCYCCUAAAAAGGAACGGAGGCKUGCAAAGGUUGGCUCAUUGCGGUUGGAAAUCGMAAGUUGAGUGUAAUGGCAMAAGCCAGCCUGACUGUAAGACAUACAAGUCAAGCAGAGACGAAAGKCGGUCAUAGYGAUCCGGUGGKUCUGUGUGGAAGGGCCAUCGCUCAAAGGAUAAAAGGUACCCCGGGGAUAACAGGCUGAUCUCCCCCAAGAGCUCACAUCGACGGGGAGGUUUGGCMCCUCGAUGYCGGCUCAUCGCAUCCUGGGGCUGGAGCAGGUCCCAAGGGUAUGGCUGUUCGCCAUUUAAAGCGGUACGCGAGCUGGGUUCAGAACGKCGUGAGACAGUUCGGUCCCUAUCUGCCGUGGGCGUAGGAAAGUUGAGGAGAGCUGUCCCUAGUACGAGAGGACCGGGAUGGACGUGUCACUGGUGCACCAGUUGUUCUGCCAAGAGCAUCGCUGGGUAGCUACACACGGAUGUGAUAACUGCUGAAAGCAUCUAAGCAGGAAGCCAACUCCAAGAUGAACUUUCCCUGAAGCUCGCACAAAGACUAUGUGCUUGAUAGGGUAGAUGKGUAAGCGCAGUAAUGCGUUUAGCUGACUACUACUAAUAGAGCGUUUGGCUUGUUU
This 1910-nucleotide ribosomal RNA is filed under the name Helicobacter pylori Iso6. RNAcentral describes it as "bacterial LSU rRNA". It matches the Rfam family "Bacterial large subunit ribosomal RNA", at positions 996 to 2925 of the family's 2925-position model. The record is from RNAcentral. Lineage: Bacteria; Pseudomonadati; Campylobacterota; Epsilonproteobacteria; Campylobacterales; Helicobacteraceae.